AGAUAUCGGGGAGGUAACCACCAGUGGCGNAAGGCGGCUUUUCUGGUCUAUUCUCUGACAUUUGAUGAAACGAAAGCUAGGGGAGCAAACGGGAUUAGAUACCCCGGUAGUCCUAGCCGUAAACGAUGGAUACUAGGUGUGGGAGGUAUCGACCCCUUCUGUGCCGUAGCUAACGCAUUAAGUAUCCCGCCUGGGGAGUACGGUCGCAAGACUGAAACUCAAAGGAAUUGACGGGGGCCCGCACAAGCGGUGGAGCAUGUGGUUUAAUUUGACGCAACGCGAAGAACCUUACCGGGACUUGACAUUAUUUUGACGGUCUAAGAAAUUAGAUUUUUUUCCUUUACCGGAAGACAGAAUAACAGGUGGUGCAUGGUUGUCGUCAGCUCGUGUCGUGAGAUGUUGGGUUAAGUCCCAUAACGAGCGCAACCCUUAUGCUUAGUUGCUAACUUGUUUUACAAGUGCACUCUAGGCAGACUGCCGCAGAUAAUGCGGAGGAAGGUGGGGAUGACGUCAAAUCAUCAUGCCCCUUACGUCCCGGGCUACACACGUGCUACAAUGGCCUGUACAGAGGGUAGCGAAAGAGCGAUCUCGAGCCAAUCCCUUAAAGCAGGUCUCAGUUCGGAUUGGAGGCUGCAACUCGCCUCCAUGAAGUCGGAAUCGCUAGUAAUCGCGGAUCAGCACGCCGCGGUGAAUACGUUCCCGGGCCUUGUACACACCGCCCGUC
RNAcentral lists this ribosomal RNA (724 nucleotides) under uncultured bacterium. Its description in RNAcentral is "bacterial SSU rRNA". It matches the Rfam family "Bacterial small subunit ribosomal RNA", at positions 692 to 1398 of the family's 1533-position model. The record is from RNAcentral.